Molecule: long non-coding RNA, 773 nt
Filed under: Oryzias sinensis (Chinese medaka)
Lineage: Eukaryota; Metazoa; Chordata; Actinopteri; Beloniformes; Adrianichthyidae
Description: lncRNA (ENSOSIG00000003168.1)
Source: RNAcentral
GUUUUGCUGAGUCAGAUUCUGAUCCUUUUGGUUCUGCUUCCUGUAAUCAAGCCCCAUCAGUCUCACCUGCUCGCUGCCACAUGCAGUAUGGACGGCUGCUUUGACUAACUGCUGCUAGUUCCCUCAAUCUGCCAGUCAUUUCAGCCUUUUAAAGAAGUUUUCCUGUUUCAUGCUUGGAUUUCAACAGUUUCGCCUCCAUCUGGUUCUUCUUGACUCUAAAGGCCGUUACCAAACAAACACAGAUGUGAACCUCCAGCUGUUCCGGCAGGUAUACGAUCAGAGAUUUAUCUCUCUUCUCCUCCAUGCAGCCAACACCAUUGAUAUUUUUUAUGAAACAAGUCAUAUUUAAUUGAACGUGUCAAUACCAGUAUACAGCUAUGUCUUGUCUAAAUGAUUCUUGGCAGAGUUGUUGAAGGCGUCUGCAGUCAGAGACCGGCUGAAGGGAAAGACUUCAUCCUGCUGUGUCUGUGGAUGAAGAGAGCAACUGCCGAAAACAAGAUAGAGGAUGACUCCAGUGAUGUAGCAGCAACUUUUGGAACAGACGUGGGCUUGCUUAACAGGGAAAACAGCUUUUCGCUGGGGCUAGGGCAUGUGUCCAGCCGGCGCUCUGACAACAAGAGGCUGUGUCACCUUGCCAGCCACCUGUAACCGGUGACCAACCGAGAGUUGGGAGAGGCUUGAUCAUGUCACACACCUCGUUGCCGCGGCCGAGCAAGCGUGAAGAGCGACCGGGGAGGGGGGGUCAAGAGCGAGGAAGCCUGUGGAAAAACAAG